CCUACGGGAGGCAGCAGUGAGGAAUAUUGGUCAAUGGUCGGGAGACUGAACCAGCCAAGCCGCGUGAGGGAGGAAGGUACAGAGUGUCGUAAACCUCUUUUGUCAGGGAAUAAAGACUGGGACGCGUCCCCGGAUGAGUGUACCUGAAGAAAAAGCAUCGGCUAACUCCGUGCCAGCAGCCGCGGUAAUACGGAGGAUGCGAGCGUUAUCCGGAUUUAUUGGGUUUAAAGGGUGCGCAGACGGGGUGUUAAGUCAGUUGUCAAAGUUUGCGGCUCAACCGUAGACUUGCGAUGGAACGUGGCAGCAUUGAGGACAGUUGAGGUAGGCGGAAGUCGUGGUGUAGCG
RNAcentral lists this ribosomal RNA (345 nucleotides) under uncultured bacterium. RNAcentral's name for it is "partial 16S ribosomal RNA". It matches the Rfam family "Bacterial small subunit ribosomal RNA", at positions 338 to 680 of the family's 1533-position model. The record is from RNAcentral.